Molecule: long non-coding RNA, 849 nt
Organism: Oncorhynchus tshawytscha (Chinook salmon)
Lineage: Eukaryota; Metazoa; Chordata; Actinopteri; Salmoniformes; Salmonidae
Source: Ensembl
CCCUUGUGACAUGAGACUGGGUACACUUGCUUGUAAACUCAGGCAGGUUGAGACUGGUUACUCGAAAGUCAAAUAAAUCAAUUUUCUCAAGAGAGUGGAAGUACAACAGUGGUGUAACUAUGGCGACUGUGUGUAAGGGAUAAACAGAUGUAAGCCGCACAAGUGUAGAAGUUGGACAAGAUGCUUCUAAACCUAACGGGGUGACUGGACCUGGUGGCACGACAAACAGUGUUGAGGACCGUGAAGAGGAUGAAAGCUCUGAUGAAGGUGUGAGAAUCGUUCCUCCACCUCCUCCUCCUGCUGCUCCACAACAGAAGUCACGGAAGUUAGUUGGGCCAGCAGAUGGUAACCGAAGAAAGGCAGCAGCACCAAAACAGAAGAGGAGAUCACGGCCCUCUCGUCGUCAACCCUGAAACGCCACAAAGACACACAAAGGCAAACAUUUAAUUUGAGUGAUUACGUAGAAAAAAACCAUGUUGUAUCUUAUUACUGUGUAUGCCAUAACAUGGACGUGAACAGAACCGUACACACAUGAUAAAGCUGUUUUCUGUAUCUUGGGCUGUAAAACAAAGUCAGCAUGACAUGGCAUAUUGUUUACUUUAACACCUGUGGAACAACUCAGUGGUAGGUUCAACACAAACUUAUGGGGCCUUUCUCUGUGAAUAAAAUGUACCAUUGCAUUUACCAUUUAAUGUGAUGACAUGACAACAGGCCCAAAAACACCAGUCUGAGACCAGUUCACGCAUCCAUUGAAAUCCAGGACAAGGCAUGCUUUUAGCAGCAUCAUGACUUGACACUGACCUUGAGAGCCAAUGAAACUGCUCUAAAUUCACCAACCUGUUUCAAAAU